Molecule: ribosomal RNA, 495 nt
Filed under: Cercopithecus albogularis erythrarchus
Lineage: Eukaryota; Metazoa; Chordata; Mammalia; Primates; Cercopithecidae
Description: partial 16S ribosomal RNA
Rfam family: Bacterial large subunit ribosomal RNA
Source: RNAcentral
CACUGCCUGCCCAGUGACACACGUUCAACGGCCGCGGUACCCUGACCGUGCAAAGGUAGCAUAAUCACUUGUUCUUUAAAUAAGGACUCGUAUGAAUGGCACCACGAGGGUUUAACUGUCUCUUGCUUUUAACCAGUGAAAUUGACCUGUCCGUGAAGAGACGGACAUAAAGCAAUAAGACGAGAAGACCCUGUGGAGCUUCAAUUUAUUAGUACAACUAAAAACCACACAAACCAACAGGCCCCUAAACUCCUAUAUCUGUACUAAAAAUUUCGGUUGGGGUGACCUCGGAGUACAACUAAACCUCCGAAUAAUCCAUGCCAAGACCACACAAGUCAAAGCGAACACACUUACAAUUGACCCAAUAAUUUGAUCAGCGGAACAAGUUACCCCAGGGAUAACAGCGCAAUUCUAUUCUAGAGUCCAUAUCGACAAUAGAGUUUACGACCUCGAUGUUGGAUCAGGAUAUCCUAAUGGUGCAGCAGCUAUCAAGGG